This is a non-coding RNA of Oncorhynchus mykiss (rainbow trout), 1582 nucleotides long. The record is from RefSeq and is a predicted model, not a curated record. NCBI's taxonomy places the organism in Eukaryota, Metazoa, Chordata, Actinopteri, Salmoniformes, Salmonidae.
GGGUGUUAAAUGAAAAGGAAUGCGCGCUAUUCUUUUAAUUACGGUAGUGAACCGAAAUAUUCAAGACCCACGCCUCACGACAUUGGCCGUUCGAUAGCCAAUGGGCUCUCAGCAUCCCUUUCACCGCCGCUUUCGAGGAGACAGUCUACUUUUCGCAUUCCCGUGUCCAUCCAGCUAUUACGAUUGACUGACAGAUAACAAGCUAAAUGCCACGCUAUAUGUGAACUAAGCAAGCUAGCUAACGAAUUAGAUAUGGUUACGAGUAGAAUUGCUUAUUUUCAGCUACAGAAAAUAGAGCUAAAGUAGCAUCAUUGAAGUUGGUAUGCUGCGUUGCACUUCAUGGAAUCAAUAAAAAGUUGGCGAGUUUGACAGACUACCGCUGGAAGAAAGUGAAGACAACUAACGUUACUCAGUAAGGACCAACUAGCCGCCUGGCUCAGAACCACUCCUGCCUGACCCAGUCCACUCCUGCUUCUUGCCCCUCACUGUGCUGGGUAACACAGGGUCACAAACCAUAACAGGCUGGUAAAGUAAGUGAAAAAGGUUGUCAGUGAGUUUCAAGAUAGUAGGUAGCCGGCUAUGCAGCUUCAAAGACAAGAAUAGACACACAAAAAGGGCAUCCCCUUUCUUAUCUAGGCGCCCUUCAGAGAAUACCAGAGUAUCCAUCAUCUGCACAUCUAUCACUCUAGUAUUAAUGCUAAAUUGUAAUUAUUUCACCUCUGGCUUAUUUAUUGCCUUACCUCCUUACUCUUCUACAUUUCACACACUGUACAUAGAUUUUUCAAUUUUUCUUUUCUAUUGACUGUACGUUUGUUUAUGUGUAAUUCUGUGUUGUUGUUUUUGUCGCAAUGCUUUGCUUUAUCUUGGCCAGGUUGCAGUUGUAAAUGAGGAGUUGUUCUCAACUGGCCUACCUGGUUAAAUAAAGGUGGUAUCUACAUAUAUAUACUUUUUUUUAUACCGUACACUACUACUGUAUCUCAUUGGAUUAGUCUGUGUAUCUAAUCCCACAGGCCCGUCACCAGGUAUCAUCUCUCUAGCGUAUGAACAGGACCUGAUCAUUGCAACUCUAACGCAUCAUCUGUGACCCGAUUGGACAGGACAGUCCUCGGGCUCAGGUUACCAUAAAGUAAAUACUUUAAAUGGGGAAAGGAGGACAGCGCAGUCGCCCCAGCCCUGUUAAAGUCUCGGUGUCUGUCUCUGACUUGAGGACGGCGCUCAGUGUUCCACUGACCUCCGUGAUGCUGAGUCGGGUCCUUGACCUCUCCAGCUUGACAACAGUGAUUAACAGUGAUUGUGUCGCACUGGCUUCACAAAGCUCCUGUGGCCUCCAGUGAAAUCUCCUUCACCUGAGAAAGUGAUAGAAGGAAAAGAGGUGGUUAGUUUAGCUACUGUCAAUGCUCAACGGUAUACUAUUGUGUCAACAGCUAUUCCAUACCAUUGAUGCUGUCUAGAAUUGGCAAGGAUGUAAGUGUUGUUCCCCAGCCCAGAGUUGAGGAUGCUGUCCCAUCCACUGACCUCCACUAUGUUGCCUCUGGUCCUGACCUGCUCUGUGAUGUUGUCCCCCGGGUCCCUGGCUGCACCG